This 92-nucleotide transfer RNA is filed under the name Neisseria flavescens. Its description in RNAcentral is "tRNA-Ser(gct)". It matches the Rfam family "tRNA". Rfam says of the family: Transfer RNA (tRNA) molecules are approximately 80 nucleotides in length. RNAcentral also lists the same sequence under 2 other names. The record is from RNAcentral. Lineage: Bacteria; Pseudomonadati; Pseudomonadota; Betaproteobacteria; Neisseriales; Neisseriaceae.
GGAAGAUUGGCAGAGUCGGUUAAUGCCCCGGUUUGCUAAACCGAGAGUGUGUGAAAAACGCAGCGGAGGUUCAAGUCCUCCAUCUUCCGCCA